GCGGGUAUAGGUCAGUGGUAGAGUGUGUGCUUAGCAUGUAUGAGGUCCUGGGUUCAAUCCCCAGUACCUCUG
Molecule: transfer RNA, 72 nt
Filed under: Camelus bactrianus (Bactrian camel)
Lineage: Eukaryota; Metazoa; Chordata; Mammalia; Artiodactyla; Camelidae
Also listed under: 2 other names
Rfam family: tRNA
About the family: Transfer RNA (tRNA) molecules are approximately 80 nucleotides in length. Their secondary structure includes four short double-helical elements and three loops (D, anti-codon, and T loops).
Source: Rfam by way of RNAcentral